CUCUUGACUACAAUAUCUUCUCAAUCAAUAUGUGCUAAUGAUUGUCCUCCUAGAGGCUAGGAAAGAGACUAAAUCCUGAAUCUAUGUAAAACAUCAUAAAUGAUUAAAUUAAUAAGUAUUUCGAUACAAAAAUAAUUUAGUUCAUACCCAAGUAAAUCAUUUCAUGCUUGAUCUAAUAUUUUAAAAUUUAAUUUUAUGCAG
RNAcentral lists this long non-coding RNA (201 nucleotides) under Elaeis guineensis (African oil palm). RNAcentral describes it as "long non-coding RNA (EGUI_LNC054755)". The record is from RNAcentral. Lineage: Eukaryota; Viridiplantae; Streptophyta; Magnoliopsida; Arecales; Arecaceae.